Molecule: non-coding RNA, 357 nt
Filed under: Gossypium arboreum
Lineage: Eukaryota; Viridiplantae; Streptophyta; Magnoliopsida; Malvales; Malvaceae
Description: Bacterial large subunit ribosomal RNA
Rfam family: Bacterial large subunit ribosomal RNA
Source: Rfam by way of RNAcentral
CGUUAGAGCAUUGAGAGGACCUUUCCCUAGUACGAGAGGACCGGGAAGGACGCACCUCUGGUGUACCAGUUAUCGUGCCCACGAUAAACGCUGGGUAGCCAAGUGCGAAACGGAUAACUGUUGAAAGCAUCUAAGUAGUAAGCCUACCCCAAGAUGAGUGCUCUCCUAUUCUGACUUCACUAGAGCCUCCGGUAGCACAGCCGAGACGACAAGGGGUUUUCUGUCCCUACGGGGAUCGAGUGAUAGAAGGUUUAAGAAUUCAAGAGAAGGUCACGGCGAGACGAGCCGUUUAUCAUUACGAUAGGUGUCAAGUAGAAGUACAAUGAUAUAUGCAGCUGAGGCAUCCUAAUAGAUCGG